Molecule: ribosomal RNA, 253 nt
Filed under: uncultured bacterium
Lineage: Bacteria
Description: partial 16S ribosomal RNA
Rfam family: Bacterial small subunit ribosomal RNA
Source: RNAcentral
UACGUAGGGGGCAGGCGUUGUCCGGAUUUAUUGGGCGUAAAGAGCGUGUAGGCGGUUUGGUAGGUCCGCUGUGAAAACUCGAGGCUCAACCUCGAGACGCCGGUGGAAACCAUCAGACUAGAGUCCGGAAGAGGAGAGUGGAAUUCCUGGUGUAGCGGUGAAAUGCGCAGAUAUCAGGAAGAACACCGGUGGCGAAGGCGGAUCUCUGGGCCAUUACUGACGCUGAGGAGCGAAAGCGUGGGGAGCGAACAGG